CGCGGCGCCGGCCCCCUUCACCAAUCAGCGCUCGCGACACGGACGGCCCACGCCGGGGCCUCUGGGAGUUGUAGUGCGGCGGGGCGAGGCGGGGCAACCCGCGUCGUGACGCCUGCCUGAGGGGAAGGGCAGCGGGCACGGAGGAGUCGCAGGGGUCGCUGGUUCAGCCGGGCUCUCAAUUCGGACCUGUGGUUUUUUAGAUCAUCCAGGUGCUUUUUAGCCCCAUCCUUCCCCUGUGUAUCUCGCCAUAGCCAGCAGUGCUUCUUACAGUUUAUGCAAUGCAGCGUUUCCUAAGCUAGGCUUACAAAGCUAUGAAGUUCUAUUUCAAGUUUUCACAGUUAUUUCCAGGAAGCUACAUUUUGCAGGGAAACCUGGGAAACCUGCACUCUUCCCUGCGGUGCCUUCCAAAACUCUCCGCUAACCAAAACACAUAAAUGAAACAGCCUUGAACAGCCGAGAAGGAAAUCAACACGGGACUAGUUCUCAAAACAAAAGUUUUGCAUGGAUAAGGAUUUACCUUCUAGCAUGGAGUUUUCCCCCCAUCCUAUUCCUGGCUAAAUCGUUGCUUAUCUCAGAAAUCAGGUAUGCUAGUGAUUCAGCUCUUGGGAAUAGUAACUAUACACAUACAUUCCCUCAGGAGAAUCUGGUACAGCUCAUCAGAAAAACAGAUACUACCAAAAAAUAAAAAAUAAAAAAAUUGGCAGGAGUAUGUAGAAAUACUGUUUCUAGAUACUGGUGAGGCAACAUCUGCACUCCACAUGCUUUUGGAGUCAUAAAAAUACCGGGCAUCCAUGUCAAGAACCCCUUGCAAAAAUAUGUAAGGCUUUGCAACAACACAAUACCCACUGGUAAACUCACUCAAUGUUUUAUAAUAUCAGUUUGCUGUUACCUAUAACUUUUGUCAAAACUAACCAUUUGCAUUCAAGCCAUUUGUUUCCCAUAUGCAAAAUGUGGGCAACAGCUCUUCAAUCUAGCAGGGAAAUGAUGGAGAUAAAUGUAUUUGUCUGUGUGAAGCACAUAUUGUGAGCCUCACGGUAACAGGGGGAGGAAAUUGCAUGUUCUGAGACUGAAACUGUAUACCAGGAUCAAGGCUGUGACAAAGCAAUAAACAAUCAGUUGAGAUGUGAGGUAUGGUGAAUGCUGAGAUCAGGGUUCUGGUUAAAAAAAAAAAAAAAAAGAGAACAAACACUAUGCAAUUCUUUUUUUUUUUUAAGACUAUGUGAUAAUAGGUAAGUAAAAGUAUGCAAGUCCUAAGUUGUGAGUGCUUUACUUUGGAAGGAAAACGUUCUGCAUGGGGUGAGAGUGCAGAGUGCCUGCACGUAACAUGGAGGUUGGGGGUUGGUUGGGGACUUCUUCACGCAGCCUUGCCAUUUAGAAUCAUAAAAUCAUUAAGGUUGGAAAAGCCCUCCAAGAUCAUCUGGCCCAACCAUCCCCCUACCACCAA
Molecule: long non-coding RNA, 1444 nt
Organism: Cygnus olor (mute swan)
Lineage: Eukaryota; Metazoa; Chordata; Aves; Anseriformes; Anatidae
Exons: 3
Source: RefSeq, a predicted model, not a curated record